Molecule: transfer RNA, 77 nt
Filed under: Paramuricea clavata
Lineage: Eukaryota; Metazoa; Cnidaria; Anthozoa; Malacalcyonacea; Plexauridae
Description: tRNA-Thr
Rfam family: tRNA (bases 12-69)
About the family: Transfer RNA (tRNA) molecules are approximately 80 nucleotides in length. Their secondary structure includes four short double-helical elements and three loops (D, anti-codon, and T loops).
Source: RNAcentral
GACCGCGUAGCUAGCUCAGUUGGAAGAGCGUUGGGCUAGUAUUCCAAAGGUCGUAGGUUCGAUUCCCACCGUGGCCA